This 439-nucleotide ribosomal RNA is filed under the name uncultured bacterium. Its description in RNAcentral is "partial 16S ribosomal RNA". It matches the Rfam family "Bacterial small subunit ribosomal RNA", at positions 339 to 795 of the family's 1533-position model. The record is from RNAcentral.
CUACGGGACGCUCCAGUGAGGAAUAUUGCACAAUGGAGGAAACUCUGAUGCAGCAACGCCGCGUGGAGGAUGACGCAUUUCGGUGUGUAAACUCCUUUUAUAUGUCAAGAAAAUGACGGUAGCAUAUGAAUAAGCUCCGGCUAACUCCGUGCCAGCAGCCGCGGUAAUACGGAGGGAGCAAGCGUUACUCGGAAUCACUGGGCGUAAAGGACGCGUAGGCGGGUUGGAAAGUCAGGUGUGAAAUCCUACAGCUUAACUGUAGAACUGCACUUGAAACUUCUAAUCUAGAGUAUGGGAGGGGGAGAUGGAAUUAGUGGUGUAGGGGUAAAAUCCGUAGAUAUCACUAGGAAUACCUAAAGCGAAGGCGAUCUCCUGGAACAUUACUGACGCUAAGGCGUGAAAGCGUGGGGAGCAAACAGGAUUAGAUACCCUAGUAGUC